UUGAUAAUUUGUUGGUUAUUCCUAACUUCAGAUCCCAUUGAGGAUCUGGUCAGUGCUUUUUGUACCCCCAUAAAGUUUUGCCGACAAUUUCAGAGGCUUUUGGACACAAAUCUGUCUCCCUCUUCCUAAGUCUCCCGUAGAGUUUGUGAACUUCAGGUUAAAACCCCUGCUUGAGUUCUGCAUCAGCUCUCCAAGACUUAGCCGUAUCAAACUGUUAACUCUUCUGGAUUACAUGUUUUGCUUUUAAUAGAACUAUCCACCAUCACAACAGUAUUUUUAGUUUUGUAUUUUUUUAGGGGGAUGGGCAUAGUAAGAAAGGCUUUAUUUUCACCUCCUUUGAAUUGUAAUUAUUUGGAGCUUAUGGUGUCACCCUUUUAAUCCUGAAAUUGGGCCACAGCAACACGUCAUGCCAACAUCGAUGCCAUGGUUUUGUUUAUGGUCCACCAGCAUUAUAGUUUUUGUGCUGCCUUUUCUUUUCUAAGGAAAUAUAAAAAUGUUUAGCAUUAUCAUGAAAAAGGUGAGAAACCUUGAAACUAUUUGCCACCAGUGUAGCCUUGUGAAAAGAAAGGUGGCCGCUAAGAGUGGUAAUGUGUGCGACUUCCACAUCCCAGGGAAAUAAGACUUUAUAUUGCCCAGGUUUAGGGUGCUAGUGUUAUUAGAAAGAAGUUUUUUAAAGCUUUUCAAGUAGUGCUAUAUUCCAGCCUGAAUGGAAAUCAUAUCAUCCAAGGAAUAGUAUGUAAUGCUGAAAUAUAUGUGUAAAUGGACAUGUUUUAUUCAAACUGGAUAGAAGUUUUCUUACAAAAUAAUUGAUAAUUUGUUGGUUAUUCCUCACUUUAGGACCAAAUGGGCAAAUUACUAGGGAAAUUCUUGAUGAUUGGCAAUUUCAACCUCUUCCUUGCUGCGUGUUUUGAUCAUAUAGGAGAAGAAAGUUUAUUUUAAAAACUGAUUUAAGUUUUAAAAUAUAUUAUUUUCAUAUACUGUAUUUUAUAAGUUUUAGUUUUCUAAUAUGCUUUAAAAAUUAUGUACUCUACAACUAAAUCUAAUUCAAGGUCUCAGCUUUAAAAUGUCACUGAAAAAUAAAAGACCUAACAUGUUUU
Eptesicus fuscus (big brown bat) is the source of this 1097-nucleotide long non-coding RNA. RefSeq lists it as uncharacterized. The transcript is spliced from 2 exons. The record is from RefSeq and is a predicted model, not a curated record. NCBI's taxonomy places the organism in Eukaryota, Metazoa, Chordata, Mammalia, Chiroptera, Vespertilionidae.